RNAcentral lists this long non-coding RNA (23234 nucleotides) under Populus tremula. Its description in RNAcentral is "long non-coding RNA (PTRE_LNC003241)". Lineage: Eukaryota; Viridiplantae; Streptophyta; Magnoliopsida; Malpighiales; Salicaceae. The record is from RNAcentral.
CAUCAUCAUCAUUCAAUUUUUCAGCCUCAUAAAUUUUAGUAUCAUCAUUUCCAGUUAACACAUUUGUAUCUCUGCUUGUUAUGAUAAUUCUGCUCCCUGGACCAAACCAUCCAGGCUCCUCAGCCAAGAAUUCUAGUUGUUCUUUGUCAUCUACAUCAUCAAGGAUAAGAAGAAUCUUUUUAAGUCGUAACCUCCGCUUUAUCAUCUCAAUCCCUCUAGAAGAAUCACAUAGAAGCACGUUCCAUUAAGAUUUCAGAAAGAAGUUGUUCCUGCAAACGACGUUGUCCAUCUUCCCUAGCAAAAACUUCUCUGACACUUGCUAAGAAGCAGCUGCCUUCAAAUUGCCAACGAAUCCUAUCAUAUACUACCCUUGCAACAGUCGUCUUACCUAUGCCACCCAUUCCACAAAUCCCUAUGAAGAUUGUUUUGCCUACUUCUUCACCUAUAUAGCCAUUUAAUACCUCUACACGAUAAUCUAUUCCAACUAAUUUUUUGCUAAUUGUUGGCAGAGUGAUGCUUAGUUUGUACGAUAUGUAUUCAACAAUUAUUUUAAUUGAUUCCGAUUCAUUCCUGCAUAGAGGGUGCAAAACAUUAAUCAUGCAGUGUGCAGAAAUCAAAUCAGAUAGUGAUAAUGGGAAGAUAAACAUUAGCAUAUUGUAGCUCGAAAAUGUAUGGUUGUUAGCCGAAAAUUAAUACACCAACCUUUGAGAAAGAUAGGGCCCUGAUAAUAGAUAGCUUCAAGAACAUAGAGGAAAAGGAAAGAAUAAACUGAAAAAGGAACUAUGAUUGUAUUGAUGCUAAGAAUGAUUCGUACAAUAGUUAUCUUAUUGCCUAUAGAAUCACACAGUUACUAUAGAAGCAUGCAUACAAGAACAAAAGGUAGGAAAUAAAAUAUCCAUUAAGUUUGGUUUUAACAUACCAAAAGGCAAAAGGAGUUCUAUCAUAUUUUUUGUCGACCACUAAGUUGUUUUUAUAAUUAUUUUUAACAAAAAAUUAAAUUAUUUAGCAUAAUUAACUUUUAAAAAAACAACUUUAAUUUUUUUAAUUUUUGAGUUUUUUUCUAUAUUAGCAUAGCCCAAAGAACAUUUCCCAAACUAACAUAUGCUUCUCACAACUCAAAUUUUCACAACGCAUUUCUUCGUCUUUCUUCUCUAUUUAAUCUUUUAUUUGGUCUUUCAAUUUUUAUACAAUCUUAAUAUUAAUUUCAAUAUAAUGAUCAUUUCAUUAAUAUAAACUUAUUUUUAUUUAAGUUGGGAAAAAACAUAACAAUAUUUUAGGCAAAAAUUAACUCGUUUUUAGCAAUUGCAUUUGAAAUAAAUAUUAACUUUAAUUCAUAUAUUUUUUGUGUGCAAAAGAAUAGAUGAAAUGAUCGUAAUAAUGGAACUAAAGUUAACUAAAUAUAAAAAUUGAGGGACCAACCCAACAAAGAAAGAAAGCAAGAUUUUUUUGACAUGCGAGACCUGCAUGUGUCAAGUUGUGUUAGUGAUGCCUAUGCUAGUUUGAAAAGUUUUUUCCCACCUAUAGUAUUUUGAGAAAUAAUUUUUUUCAUGGGAAAAAAUUCAUGUAGCUUUUAUGUCAUACCUUAAAAACGGAACCAUAGAAGAUACUAAUGAUAAGUUGCCACUUGUUGAAAACUUCACUUUAAUGUGUAGUUCUUUAACUAGAUUUUUGGCCUCAAGUGUUCGAUUAUUUUUUUCUAACCCUUAAAAAAUAUAAUAAUAUUUGAAAGUAAAAAAUUCAAUACAAGCUAGAAAAACACUUUUAAAAUAUUAAGAUAAUAAUAUAUUAGACGAUAUAUUUAUUUAAAAAUAUAAUUGUGACGACAACACACUAGAUCGACUUAGAGUAACUAUGAUUAACUUGUGAAACUCGCGAUCCGAAGCACAUUUUGGUGAAAACUCCAUGGAACCCAUAUCAAAAUAAAAUAAGCCCAAUUUCAAUCAGCCAAAUAUGAAAAGCUAAACAUAAAAAAAAAUUAUUCAAUUAAAAAAAGGAUUUUUUAAAAAAUAAGAGCUAGAUUUAACAAAGAAUGAGAAAUAAAAAGACUUAAGAUAACCUCGGUUAUUUUUAAAAUUAUUUAAAAAUCUUAUACAAAACAAAUAAAAAAAUUUAAUAGAGCCUAGUCUCUAAUUAAAUUAAAUAUUGAAUAAUAAAACUGAAAAACAAACAUGAGCUUCAAAAAAAGAAACCUAGACAAAUCUCCUAAACCUAGGUUAGUACUGUCCCAAAUUCUCAAUCCGUUAAAUCCUAAAUCCAGACUCAACCAAAAAGCUUAAUUCAAUGUUAAAGUAUGAAAUCAGAAAUAAUCUAUAUAUAUAUAUAUAUAUAUAUAUAUAUAUAUACCAAUUUUAAAAAAAUUUGCCAAGGUAAAAAAACAUAACAAUAAAAAAUGAAGGAUGAAAUCACCAAUAAAAUAAAAUAAAAAUAAUCUCACAUAAAAUAAAUAGUAAUCAAAAGAAUGAGAAUCAACUCUAAUAGAUUAAAAAAUUAAAAAGUAUAAAAUUAAUAGCAAAUUUCAAUUCUAAAAAAUAAUUCAAAUAAAAAAAUAUCAACUCAAAAAAAAUAGAACAAAUAUGGGAAAAACAAAACCAAAUUGAAGGGUUACUAUAAAAGUUUAGAAGGUCGGGUGCAUAAUUUGAGGAUAAAGACAAAAGAAAAGAAAGUCAUGUGGUGCCAAACCAAAAAAAAUUACUCCACACAUGCCACUCAGGGAGGCAGGUCACAUCAUGGUGAAUCAAAAAACAUCAAUGAAGGCCUUUUUUGGGUGUCAUAAGACAUUGCUCAUGCUACUUAAAUAAGACAAAACAACUUACUAGCUUGUGUGUUCUACAAACAAGCCAACCACUUUUUUUUUAUCACAAAAAAGCAUGAAUAAGCCCUUGAAGACAAGGUAAGUAUUUUUAAUUUUAAAGGAAAUGAAGUUAUUUUAUUGCACCAUGAAAAGUGAAAAAUCUUAAAAGAGCCCCUAUAGCUAAUUUAUUUAUUCUUUCUUUUAAAGAUAACUAAGUAAUUAUACCAUAAAAAAAAUGCCUAACUACCCCUAUCAAUUCUAUAAUGACUAUUGGCCCUUAUAAAAAGACCUUAUUGUUCCUAAUAAGUAGUUUAUUUUGUUUAGAAUGAAAAAUUAGUAAAUUCAUUGUUACACUCCAUUAGUAAAAGAAAGACACCUAUCAAAUUUUAAUUUCAAAUAGAAAAAUAAAAAUAUUCACAAAAAAAUUAAAAAUAAAUUUAUCUCUUUGAUUUAUAAAUAGUUUGAAUUUUUUAAUUCAAGAUGGAAAAUCUUUUUAUUUUAUUUUGAAAAGCUAAAACCAACAUAUUCAAAAAUUUUGGUCAAUUUUUUAUUUCUUAUGAUGAAUUUGUUGUCAUUUCUUCACAAUUUUUACUUUUUUAAGCUAACUUUUUAUUUGUUCAUGCUAGAUUUGUUUUUCAACAUUUUUAUACAUUUUAAUUUUUUUGCUUAAUAUUUAUUUUAUUUUCAAAAUAUAAAGAAAAACCUAAGAAUAGAAAGAAGUUAUAUAUAGAGAUUAGAAAUGCUUGAUCACAUCAGUUCAAAAUAUCAUUAAAAAAAAAAACAUGCAUAUGAAAAAAAUACACAUUUACUAUCAUGCUUGUUCAUCAAUGAAACAAUACAGGGCAGAUUUGAGAAUAAGAAUAAGUAGAUAGACGAUUUACCUAUUCCGGACGUCCCAGCCAGAUAGAUUGGCCACCGUAGAGAGACAAUCUUUCCAUUUCCGGACCUUCUCCAAGUUUUCCUUGAAAUUUUGUUCAUGCUCACCGAAGGCUUCCUCGUAUUUCCGUUUCCGCUCGGUUACCUCUGAGGGAUCCACAUCAUAAAAAACUGGCAGAACAGUUUGCCCCAUCUCUUUCAUGCACUGAACAAUCUUGACAAGUUCAUCCAAGCACCAUGGUGACGAUGCGUAAUCUCUUGAAAAUAUAAUGACAGAAAACCUUGAUUCUUCGAUGGCCUUCCAGAGAGCAGGUUCGAUGGUCUUUCCUCUCUCGAGCUCCCUAUCAUCCAUGUAUACAUCGAUGCCUCUCUGUUUCAGAUUAGAAUAUAGAUGACUAAUAAAGUUGUCCCGGGUGUCUUUGCCUCUAAAACUAAGGAACACAUCAUAAAUAUAUAGUGGAGGAGGAGGAGAUGAAGAUGAGGUUAUUCCUUUGACGCUGGUGGAAGCCAUGAAAAUUCCUAUAGCGAUAAACUAGUAAGGCCUGCUCCUGUGGUCAAACAUGAAACAGAAGGUGAGAUCAAGAAAUUUGGCAAUUAAAUCUACCAAAUAGCAAUUUCAAGCUGGAACAUGUAUAAUUCUACUUAGAAAUCAGAAAACACCAAAUUUCUACGAGUAUUUCACGAAUCUAGACCAAACAAACCGUGUGGUAAGUGUUGGCUAAAGAGGCACAAGAUCCAGCCAAGCCCAAUAUUUUUUCUUCUUCUGGUAUCUUAGUAACCAACUUCCAAAGCCCUUUUCUUUCUUUUUAUUUCAAUGACUUCGAAUUUAUUUCCGGUUUCUUGAGGUCAAGAACUCGUACCGGUAAGUUUCCAAUGAUUUUCUUACGGAUCUUUUUCUUACACUGUAAAAAACAGAAAGAGAAAUGAAAGGGAUAUCGAACGCGCAUUGGGCAGCAGAGUGGACCCAUCACAAUUGAGUGAUUCAUAUUUUUUAAUGAAUUAUCAAGUCCAUAUUAUUUAACAUAAAUAUUUUUGCAUUCCAAGAACUUUCCAGAUGUGGGCAGCAAAGGCACCUUCCUGUCAAGAGCAGGGGUUGAGACACACACAUCACAGUUGAAAAGUAUUUUUUAAUGAAUUUUCAAACUAAUAACUACAAAACUCUUACAUUAAAUAUUAUAAAUUCCCAUUGAUUUUUUUUUAAAAUAAACUUAGCCACCACCCGAUGAACUGGAACUAAUUAACGAAAAAACAAAUCAUAUUAAAUUGAGUUUAGAAUCUCCACUUUUUUUUUUCCCUAAACUUUUUUAAAAAAGUUUUAUCGGCUUUUAAUCUCACAAUUCAAUCCAAAUUUAUGAUGUGUUAUUUUUUUCAAUUUAAUCCUUAUUAUUUUUUUAUUUUUGUUUUUGUUCAAGUUAUUUUUCUUUUCAGUUAACUCUUCAAUUGAAAAAAUUUAGUUAUACUCUAAUUUAUUUUUUAUUUUAUUUUUGAUUCUUGUUUUUUUAAUUAUUAUUUUUUUAAUUUUUAAAAUACUAGUGCUCGUAUAACAAAACUGAAUCCAACCUCUUGGAUAAUGUAGCCACCAUAGCUUGAACGUCCAAUAAUGAAAAUUCUUAACGCCGCUAUCCAUUAAUGAAUCCCAGCCACUCAUCUCCCGACACUUUCUACCCAUAAUUAAGAUAGCAUAGACGAAGACUCCAAGAGAUAAUCCAAUAUUUCUUCUACCGUACGUUCCUCAACUUUAAUGUCCGAGGCUGAACGUGUCCACAAAAACUCACAAGGAGGAAGAGAACCAACCAUCAGCGGCGUCACCCUCUUCGCGACCUUUAUUUCCGUUGGCUCUAGAAUAAUUUUUUGAUUUUUGUCUUUCUGCACAACCUUUUUUUUACUGCAAGAUUACAUAAAAAAUAUACAUUCAUGGCAUAAUUAUAUAACCAUUAAUUAUUUUUUUAAUUAAUUUUUUUUAUGACUCUCAUAACUUUUUUUCUUCAAAAAAUAAACAUUCGGAUAAAUAAAUAAAUAAAUUUAAAAAAAUCACAAUAAUAGGAUAAAGAGGAUUUAAUUGAGAAUAUGUUUUUUUAUGGUUAUUUCAAAUCUUUGGGGUCUAUUGGAUAUUUAGUAUGCUUUUAAUAUUGUGGUACAAAGUUCUUUUUAAAACUGAUUUUUUUUUUAAUGUAUAAAAAUAUAUUUUUAGAUUUUUUAUACAAGCACAUCAAAAAAUACUAAAAAAACAUUAAUUUGAUAUUUUAAUAAAACAAACAUAUUUUUAAAACAUAUUCAAACAUAAAGUAGAAACACAAUAUCAAACACAAACAUAUUUUUGGUUGACAAUUAAAAAGAAAAAGGAUACUAGGAAAUUAUUUUAUGUUGAUAGAACUUAAAUUGUUAAUUUUUUUGGCUACAAGAAAUCAUAUAUUUUGAACCGUAUAUAUCACCUAGUUUCUAGAUUUAUUGUUUGAUUUGCAUUUUAACAUUUUUUUAUUGUAUAUAAUUCUGAUUGCUUUGAUUAAAAACAUGCAUCAAUUCUUUUUAUUCAUAAAAAAAAAAAUUUCUUCAACUUAAAAAAAGUUGACAGUGCUCACACUUUUUCUUUUUCUUUUUCCAUUGAAAAGUAACUUUUAAUCCGAUCCGCAACAAGAACUAGACAAGGACACGUUAUUUAUUGGAAGAACACGUGGUGCUAUGUUUUCUCGAGAAUGCUUCGAUAGUCAGAAAAUCAAGGGCCACCACCCAUGUGCAUCCUAACACCUUUUUUCUUCAGUAAAAACAAAUCCUCAAACUCGUCCUAAUAUCUUCUGGAGACCUACUUCUAACUUCAAAAUCUAUUACAAUCCAAUUUAAUCGGUCUGAAAUUGAAAUCAAUGUUCUGAAAAAAAAUAUAUGAUCUAGGCUUCGAUCUAUCUAUAGUAAAACAUCAUGGUCUUUUAUUUCUUUAUUAAUUCUAAUAAUAAUAAUAAUGUUUUUAUUAUUAAUUUUUAAUAUACUAGCUAGUGCUUGUAUAACAAAACUGAAUCCAACCUCUUGGAUAAUGUAGCUAGCCACCAUAGCUUGAACACUAAGUUCAAACCCAAUAUUUGUUUAUUCUUCUGAUAUUAACUGAAUCUAAUUAACGAAAAACAAAAAGAAAUUCAUAUUAAAUUGAGUUUAGAAUCUCAAAUUUUAAUAUUUUUUUAACAAACAGUCCAACUUAGAUUUUCUCCGAUAAAAAAAAACACCAGUUCUUCUCGCAUUGCUAGCAUACCAUCUUAAACCUAUGAUUAAGGGAGAUUAAAAAUGUGGUAGUACUUAAUUUUUUUAAAUAAUUUAUUUAAAAAUAUAUUAAAAUAUUUUUUAUUAUUUUUUAAAAAUUAUUUUUAGUAUAUACGUAUCAAAACAAUUCAACAACAUAAAAAAAAAAAUUCAAACGGGUCAUGAACUGCUUUCCCAGCCAAAUUUUUUGGAUAUUGAUUAUAAUCUUUUGCUUUUAAAUAUUAUGCUGUGUGAAAAUAAAUCUCUUUAAGCACACUGCUACACAAAUCAUUCGGUUUAGAGCAUCUUCAAAGAAAAAUGCUAUAUUAGAAGAGCAAAAUAGAUAAAAUAUCUUUUUAAAUAGUGUAAAUAUAGUUUUUUUGAUUAUAUGUAUUCCAAUGAUAAAAAACUAUUUAGAAAAGCCAAUUAUAUUUUAAUAUAUUUCAUGUUAAAUUAAUUUUAAUAUAAUUAUAUAACUAAUUUAGAUAUUUUAUAUAUAAUAUAAUUAUGAUGUUAUUAAUUAUAUAAUUAAUAUGAGUAAUUUAUAAAAGUAAUAUAAAAUUAACGAGUAGAAUCAUUAGAUUUGAACUUCUUAUGUCAUUAUAAGUUUCAAGUUUUUUAUGUUUUUUUUUUUCAUUAUGGUUGUUAUCUUUUAAGUUAAUUAAUCCUACUUAUUGUUGUUAAGUGUUAGAAGAACCUCAAAAAAAUAUUAUGAAUUGAUAUCACUUUUAUAACAAUAUAUUUAAAAUAACCAAGAAAUUUUAACAUAUAUAAUUAAAAAUACAUUACAUUAAACAAUAAAUCAAUCUAGCUAAUUAAAAAUUAAAACUCCUCUUUUGCAUAAUUUCUAACUUUUUAUUUUGAAAAUAUGCUGCAGAAAUUGGAUCCAAAUUAGAAAUAUCCAUUUUCAUAAUUUGUUCUUCUUUCUCAAUCCUGUCCAAUUCUUGUUUCUCUUGACUUUGUUGAAUCAUUAUAGCUUGUUGCUCUAACAUAAUUUUUCUGUCUUGUUUCUUUUGAUCCUCAAUUUCAACUAGAGUAUUCUUGAAUUGUUGUAAGAGAUUUGUUACAGUUACCUCCCCAACUUUAUCUUUUCCUUGUUUACGUUUAAGUCGUUCCUUUGCAGCCUUCUGACCAAUUAGUCUAUCUUAAUAAAUCAACGGUUCACUGUCUUCUCCUAAACUAACAGAAUCAGGAGUAGAUGAAGCUGAUGAAGCCGGAUUUGCAUUGACAUGACUUUUUUGUUUCUUGUUUGACCUUUGAUGUUGACUUGCAUACUCAAAUUGCCAUUUGAGUUUUUUUCUUAAGAUAACCCAACAAUGUUCUAGUUGAAAUUGUUUGCCAAUGCAAGAAGCAUACAUUUGUCGAGCAUCAUUAAUCUGGUAAAAAAUUAGAGAAAUUAAAUAAUGUUAAAAUAUAUGUUAAACAAUUUAAUAUUAAAAUGAAUAUUAAAAAUUACCCUUGAUUCUUUGGUCAUUCCACUUUGCUAACGAUUUUCAAUUUAAGUAACAAAUCCAACAAAUUUACCGUCUUCCCUAUUUAUUUCUUGCCAUCUACUUGAGAUGCUUAUUUGGGAAUGAUUAUUCAAGUUUCCUCCAUUCUCUACAACGUAAGCAUGUACUCGAGCCCAUAACUGUUUUGUUUGUUGUUCAACUCCUGUAAUUGGAUCCUUGCUUGUAUUUAGCCAUGCAGAGACAAGUAAACAAUCUUUCUAUGGUGAUAAGUUUUUACUUCUUUGUGAUUUUUUUGCCGAAUGUACAUUUAAAUUCGAGUAUGUUAAGUCAUCAAUUAAUUGAUUAGAAUCACUUGGUUGAGAGAGAAUAUCUUCUGACUCACUCAUAAGAAAGUUGGUAAAAGAGCUUGGAAAAUUUGAAUCCAUCUACAUUAAAAAAAAAAAAAAAAAAAACUCAAGUUAAAACAGACAAUAAAAAAUAAAUUUUAAAUAUGUCACUCUAUAUUUUUAUCAAUAUCAACUACCAUUAUUAUUCUCUCAAUUUUGUUAAAGAUAACAACAUAAAUAAAAAUUGUCUUCAUUAACCCAUAUAAAAAACAUAAAAUAACAAAGAAAUAAAAAUCAACACAAAUAUCAAAUUAACAACAAAAAAUCUAAAAAAUCAACACAAAUAUCAAAUUAACAGCUUGAUAAGACCUGAAAAAAGCAAAGGGAUAAUUUGAUAUUUAGGAUAAUCUAAUUAAAGGAUGUUUACUUUCAAAAAUAAAAAUGAGAUGAAACAAUUACUAUAGAAUAAUAAAUAAUGACAGGAAUAUAAAAAUAAUGACUAGUCCCUGACUUGAUGUAGUUCAAUCGGUUUUAGAAUUUUAAAAUUGAUAUUGAAUCGAACCAAAUUUUUGUAUCAGAAGCUAAGCUGGUAAAAUCUACACAUGUGAUAGCAUGUGAAGGUAUACAAAAUUAUCAAUAUGAGAUUUUGUUCAAAGAACAUCACAUGUUAGUACCAAAAGAUGAUUUAGCUCAAACAAUAAAAUAUGCAUCAAUAACCAUGCAAUGCAUCUAAUAUGUACAGACCUCAAAAACUGGUUGUAGCUGCUUCCUAGGUGCCCUCUUAACUGCUUCACGUUGCUGUUUAGCACCAUGUAUCCGCAUGACAUAGGAUGGUAAGAACAUGUCAUAACUCCAAAGGGCAUUGAGGUUAUGCUCGACACGAGUAAGACAGAGGUAAAUAUCACAAGCUAUGACACAAUUAUCUAAGAAGAGCUUAGAACACACCAAAAAGCUAUAUAAAUGUCAGGUCCUGAUUUGUUACUAGAAGCAAUAGUGGUGUUAAGAGUUGCAACAACUACAUGGGAACCAGAAUCCAACCACAAACUCAUUAAAUUCCAGAUUAAAGUAGAGCAUGUAUGAAGAAUUUGUAUCUUCCAAAUUUGUAUACGAGGAUCUAAAAUUAAUUUUAGUGGGGACUAUGCUAAUGUGCCUCCUGCAACUUGCAUGAUGAUUGAGUGAAAGAGCCAAGACCAACUAUAAACUUGCUAGUAAACAAAGUGCUCUUUCCCCAACGCCAAUUCAUGAAAUGGUUUUCGUCUGAUGCUCAAUCUGAUCAAAUUAAGAUAUUCAGAGUGCAAUCACUGGUUUAUAUCUUUUGUUUUUGUAGAUAGAAAGUGUGUCCAGGAAUCUCAGUCCUAAUGGGCAAUUUACAACCAAAGCGCUAGGGAGCUUAUCAGAUUUAAAGGCAAUAGGUUGAAUGGUAGAAGCUGCCAUAGAGGCCUCUUCAUAUUCCAAAGCAUGUGUAGUUUUUCCAAUGAGGAUUGUGAUCACCAAUUCAUGAAAAAAUUAACCAAAGUCCAUGAAAAACAUAUCCUAACUAACUUGCCAAACAAUAAGGUUCAAAAAUCUCAGUUUGACUGCAGAGAUCCGUCUGCGCCAUUUCUCCCAUGUAAUCAUCUGUUGUCUCCUUGCACUUCUGGCAUAUUUGAAAGUUAAAAUAAAUACUAGCCUUAUAUGAAUCAUCACCUAAAGAAACUAAACUACUUCAAUCAAGUUCUCUAUGUACUAUCCUAAUCCUUAAUUAACUACGUGUCUGACUUCACAUGAAAACACCAACAUUGGCAUAUAAGGAAUCACCAUGUGCCUAGCCUGUUUGGAGAAACAAUAUUUUUAUUUCUUGUGCAAGAAAAAAGAAUGAAAGACAAACAUCUGCAACUUAAGAGGCACCAUGGAAAUUGCCUACAAAUCUUAUAUGUUUCAGCUCUAAAAUCUAGAAACUAAACUAUCUGCUGUGAAAGUAUAUGGAACCCGACACUGUUCAUGUCAUAAAGGAUGAUAAAAUAUGAAAACUAGAUAUCACUAGAAGAACAAAAUUUGACAGGGUUACUCACAGUUUUCUCUAGGCCUUUGAGGACUAGUGGGUCACAUUGAAUUACACCAUAUUUUGUUUGUAAGAGCAAUUCAAUUAGACCGCUUCCAAGCUGCAAAGUGCAAGGACAGAAAUCAAAUACGUACACGAUGCAUUUGUUCAAGAAAAUUAGCCUUUAUCAAUGAUUACAAGCACACAAACCUUAGCCCUAGCGUCUGCAUUCCAUGGUUUUGAAUCAUCCUUCCCCUUCACAAUAAUCAAAUCAGUAACCUUUUUUCUUAGGUUUUCUUGUUCCUUCAUGACAGCAGGGGAUUCACCUUCUACACCAUUCUUGCUAUCAUUAGCCUUUUCCUUUUUCUUCCUUGUUUUCUCCAAGGUAUUGUGUAUUCUAAUCUGUUUCAUCACAGAAACUGUUACAGAUUCAGUCCUCAGUUCAAAGAAAGAGAACAAGACUGAAGAGUUGGGAGUUCCAAAAAAUGGAUUAAGAAUGGUACGCCUAAAUAUCUCUUCAUUGUAUAGUUCUUUUUUAAAAAGAAAAAAAGGAAAAGAAAUGAGGAAGCAACUCCCAUAGUCAGAAGAGACAGUAGAGCAAAGUGUCACACGUGCCUUUAACGUCUAAACGAAGAGAAAAACUUGAACAACUUACAAAACAAAGGCACAAACAAGAACACACAUAAUUGAAAUGAUAAAGAUAAUUGUUGUCCCCAACAGGGAAAUGCAAAAGUAUAAAUCCAUAGUGAAACAAUGUCGAAACAUGAGAUGAGCUCUGACAAAGGAAAGUUGAAUGUCACUCUUAUGAGUCCACCAUGUCCAUGCUUUGAAGAAAUUGUAGCUCAAAAAAGAAAGGCGUAAUAGAAUAUUCACCUUAAUAAGGCCCGUGAUAUGAAAUGUUUGAUACAUAAUGACAAAAUUGUAAAAACUUGGUAUCUAAAGGAUCUUACACUACAUUGUUUUUCCUACCUGCAUUUAGUGUCCUCCCUGGAACUAUGAACAGCAGAAGAACUUGGACUGAGAGUAAAAACUAUAGAUAUAUAAGAAAGAAAUCCAGAAAAACCCCAUUCAACUUUCGACAAAACUUUACGGAACGUAACUUCAAAAUCUAAUUUUCCAGGCACUACUAGCUCCAUAGCUGAUUUUUAUCUCAUAAUUGUACGUAGUAACUUUCAUCUUUCUUCCUAGUUCAUCACCUCGGAUGAAGGUUGUCUAAAAGUAAAUUUAAGAAACUUUAUGUUUUCCCUUAUCUUUCAAUAUUUUUAUACGGGCACUCAUUAUCCUCCGUCUACAAAUCAAACCGCAAGUAAAAAUAAGCAAAUAAAACAUUAAAAAUUACACUCACAUACCCUCUUGGACAAAAUCCAGCACACCGAUUCCCAUUAGUACUUUCACUAUUUCUCAAAAAAAUAGAACCGGGUUUUCCCAUAAAAUCUUCAUGGGUUGAUAUUUCGCCAAUUGCUCGAAAACUCAGUCGUGGACUUGUGUUAUUAAGCGAAUGGAACUUGAGUUUCUCAAAAAAGAUGGGUUCUUUAGAGGCUCCUAAAAAGCUGUAAGUUCUUGGAAAUGAAGGGAAAUUGAGGGACUUUGAUUGGGAUUUCAAAGUGGCUUGUUUUGCGACGUUUCUCCACAUAACUGUGGAUGGUUUAGAGAUAGAAUUGUGGGUUUCUUAUCAAAAUCAAAAGAUCAAAAUUUUUGGUAGAAAAUAUAUGGGAGUUGGUCCUCCAAUUAAAGGAAAUGAAAAAAGAAGAAGAAAUGGAAUUAGAAAUGGAAUUGAAAUGAUUGAGAGAUGAAUUGAAAUGCGCGGGUAAUGCAACUUGAGAAAAGAAAUGAGUUCAUAGAGAGGGUAUGUAUGGUAGUGGUAUUAGCAUACCGGCCGCCCUAAACCCUGCAUAAACCUUCUUUGGGGUUUUUGGCUAAAUCGUCUUGUUUGUUUCUCUCUUUUCAGUUUUCACUACUUGUGUUGCCAUGAAUCUAGUUGCAUAAUCUCAAAAGUUUCUUGCAAGUCCUGGGUGGAUUCUUAAGAGAAAGUUGGGCCAAUUUGAAAUAACAAAGAAAAAUAAUUUUGGCAUAUAAUUUUAUUAAUCUUUGUUGUUUGUAAUUUGCAGAGCAUAAUUAGGAAUGUAGAAUUAAAUUUUAUUAUUUUUGUCUCGAACGAAGCAAGUCCAAUUUUGGAGUAAGUGAUUAUAUAUAUUAAUAUUUAUGUGUUUAUAUAGUUGUAAUAUAAAGCUAUUAAUAAUAAAAAUUGUUGGUGUAUCAAAGAGAAAAGUAUGUGUUUAUAUAGUUGUAAAUGUAAUUAAAGAUAUUUUGAAUUUAUAUUUACAUGUAUGUUGUGUUUGUUUAGUAAAAAAAAUAAAAAUAUAUUUAACUAAAAAAUAAAAGGAAAUAUAUGAAAUCCAAAACAUAAAUUAUAUGUCCAUAUAUUUUUUCUGUUUUUGUUGUUUUUAUCUUUUUUAUUUUAAAAUAAUAAUAAUCAAACACCAUUUUUUAUUGGAGCAAUCCAACCACAAAUAUAGAGUUGCAAGAUUUAUGUUAAUUCAAGAAUAACUGAGAAUUUGGCAAAUUGAAUCUAAUAUUUCAGGGUUUUGACAGCAGCUAAAAUUACUAACUUGUUCACCAAAGAUAUACCUAAAAUUACUACCAGCAAACUUUAAUUUCCAAUAUUUCGGGGUUUUGACGGCAGCUAGCUAACUUGGGGCAUGAAAUGUUGCAUUGCACAUCGAAAGGUGGUUUUCUGCUUUUGAGAAGAAAAAACAAACAAUUUUUACGUAAAAGUAACCAAUAAUUUUUAAAAAUAAAAAAUAUUAUUUUAAUAUAUUUUUAAAUUAAAAAAUAUUUUUAAAAAUAAAUGUUAUAAUAAUAAUAUUACCACAAUAAUAAAUUGGCUAUUAAAAUAGAGAACCGUUAGAAUUAUUUAGAAUGAUUAGAAUGCAUGCAUAUAGCUCGGUCGCAUCUAAAAUCAAUUUUCAUGUAUUUUGAAUGUAAAAUGCAUGUUGUUGGUAUUAAAAAAUAAUAUAAAUCAUAUUUUAAAAUCUCAUUGAAUAGUUUAAAUCACCGAGUUAAAUUGGUUUUUUGCUAUUAUAUUAGAGUCUUGAUGACCAAACGGUCACGAAUUCAAAUCUCAUCAUCCUUGUUUAUUUAAUUAAACACAAGGUAAUGUAGUCUUAUGUAAAUUCAAGUUCAAAAUGCUUCUACUUGAUAGGAGUGUUAGAGAAUAAUAUAAAUCAUAUUUUGAGACUUCAUCUAAUAGUUUAAGCUAUUAAAUUAAAUGGAUUCUUUAUUAGUAAGAAGAAAUUAGUUUUAAAACGUAGUUAUUAUAUUUAAAUUUUAAUCAAAAAUUAAAUUAAUGAGUUAAGAUUUUGUUGAAAAAUAUUUUUUUUUUUUGCAUGAAUAUUAAUUAUAAUAUGAAAUAUUAAAAUACUUAAAAUUAAUUAUAGAUAAAUAAAAAAUUAAUUUCAAAGAAUUAUGAAUGAAUUGAUGGGAAAAAAAUCAUAUUGAUAAGAAAUUAUUGGUUUUAUCUUCUAGAAAUAUAUAUUGUUUUUUGAAUCUAACACAUACACCCAAAACCAGAGUUAAAAAAAUAGGCAGACUAGCGAUUCCAAAAUAAUGGUUGAAAUUUUCCAGAGCAAGAACUUUUCGCCAUGUAAAAGUUUUAUUAUGGAAACAAUCCUUCCAUCCGCAAACAUGGUUUAUCCUAAAUUAAAGAAGAAAAUCCAUACAUAAUAAAAUGUGAAUCUAAUUACCCCAAACCAAAACUAUGAGCAAAAACUGACGAAGCUCUUCAAGAUAAAGCAAGUUAAAUUCCUAACCAAAACCCAGGGAGAUGCUGCUGGAGCAGCUGUUGCCGUUGCUGCUGGAGCAGCUGCUGCCGUUGCUGCUGGAGCAGCUGCUGCCGUUGCUGCUGGAGCUCUUGCUGCCGCAGAUGCCGGAGCACCUGCCGCCGCACUUGCUGGAGCACCCGCUGCUGGAGCUUCUUCUGGAGUAGCUGCUCAUCGAGCUGCUGCCGCCGCCACUGCUGGAGCUUCUGCUGCUGAUCGAGCAUCAGCUUAUGCUUGAGCUGCAGCAGCUGCUCGAGGAGCAGCUGCUGCCGCAACUCAAGUAUAGUCAAACUGUACAUGAAAUCGAUGUUACAUGUUUUGUUGGGUGUUAAAAAAAAGAUUUAAUAAAACAUUUAUAAUUAGAUUUUUUUUCAACAUGUUUUGUAUUUAAAAAAAUUUAAGUGAUAAUAAAAAAAAAUGCAUAAAUAUAAUCAAAUAAAUCAAGAAUUAUAUAUGUUAAUAAAAAAAAACACAACUAUAAACUAUAAUAAAAAAUAAAAGUAGAAAAAUUGAGAAAUAAGUAUAGAUUAAAAUAUUUAAUUUUAAAAAAUGAGAUAUUUACGCUAUUAUAUUUACUAAAUUUAUUAAUUAAAACAAGUAUUUUAUUCAAUUAAACGAUAAUCAAAAUAGACAUACACAUUAAAUUUAUUGAAUAAAAUAAAAUGAAAAAAAUAAUAUGCAAGGCUGCAUAUAUUAAAAAUAUUAUUUAAAAAUAAAAAAUUUUAUUUUCAUAUGUACAAAAGAUUAAAAAAAUUAUAAAUGAAUCAGCAAAACUUUCUCAGAAAUUAAAUACAUAACUGAAAAAUAAAUAUUAUUUCAAAGAGGAUCUCUAAAUAACAUAAAAAAGAAAAAGAAAAGGGGAUGUUAAUCUAAAUAUAAAUUAAAAAAAACAUAUGAAAAGGAAAAAACAAGAAAAAAAAAGAAGAAGAAAAAGAAGAAGCAAAUGCCAGGUGUUGUUGGACUAGUAACUCAAGCCAAUCCAAUAGCCACAUUUUGUUAGGGCCAACGUUCAUUACCUUUUUUUUGUUGCAAGAUGUUUGUGAAAAAAAAUAAGAUGAUGCUUUUUUAUAGACCAGAUAUUUUUUUUUCUCUUACAAAAAAGUUGUGCAUGCAUGUUUUUUCAAUGAAAUUUUUUAUAUAAAAAAAUUUAAAUUGUAAAUUAAAAAGCUCAUACAUACAUAUAAUCAAAUAAAUUAAUAACUAUGUGAAUUAAUAAUAAUAAUAAUAAUAAUAAUAACAAUAAUAAUAACUAAAAAUAAAUUUAAAAAAUUCAAAUGUGUUAAUAAAACGAAGCAUUUACCCAGUUAUAUUUUUUGAAAUUAUUUAUUAAAAUUAAUCUUUUUAUUCAAUAAAAAAAUAUUAAAAAAUACACAUGUAUUAAAUUGAUUAAAUAAAAAAAAAUAAAAAAUAAAAUAUUAUGCAUGGUUGUUGUAUAUAUUAUGUUAUCUGAAAAUAAAUAUUUUUAUUUUUUAAAAUAAAGUUCUUUUAUAUAAAAGAUAAAAAAAAUUAUUGAUGAAUCAUAAUAAGCUUUUUAAAAAUUAAAUACGAACAACACUAUAAAAAACAAUAUCUAUCCAAAAAUAAAUAAAUAAACAAAAAAAAAUCACAGAUGAGGAAUAUUAAUUGAAACAUAAAUUUAAAAAAUAUUUUAAAAAAGAUAUGUAAAAAUAUAUCAAUAAAAAAAGCAAUAUCAGGAAAAUAAAAAUAUUGUUCUGUUGUUGUGGCUUAACUCAUUAAAUCCGUGACCCGGAGCAUGAACUCAACCGGGUUCAAUAUUGCUUUCCGUUUAAAUUUGUAUUCAACCUUUAACAAAAAUGAAAUUAAACAUGUGACCCAGACCAUGAACUCAACCAGACUCUCUAUUGUUUUCUCUUAAAUUUAUAUUCAACCUUUAAAAACAAAUACAUACAACACCAUCAAAAAACAAUUUAUAUUAAAAAAAAGGUUAAAUAAACAAAACAAAUCACAGAUGAGUGAUAUUAAUUGAAACAUAAAUUGAAAAUUAUCUAAAAAAGGAUAUAUAUAAAAAGAUAUUAGUAAAAAAAAAAAGCAACAUUAGAAAAAAAAAAAAUUGUCCGGUUAUUAUGGCUUAACUCGUUAAACUCGUAACUCAGUUCAUAAACUCAACCCGGUUCAAUAUUUUUUUCCUUAAACCUUAAAAAAAAUUAAAUAUGUGACCCGGACCAUGAAUUCAACGAGGUUCAUUAAUUUUUUUCUUUUAAAUUUAUAUUCAACUUUAAAAAAAAUUAAAAUUUAAAAUACACAACACCAUAAAAAAAAUCAAUCUUUAUAAAAACACCUCAAUCGAGUUGAACUUUUUUUUCUUAAAUUUAUACUCAACCUUUAAGAAAAACUUGUGGCAUGGAUUAUUCACUCAAUCAGUUCAAUAUUUUUCUUUCUUUGAAUUUAUAACAAAUCUAAAAAAAAUAAAGUAAACAAUAUCUUCCAUAGUAAAGCAUGUCGGUUUAAUCCAGACUAUAAAAUUAACUAAGUUUAAUAUUAAUUUUUUUAAAAUUCAUAAUCUACCUUGAGGAAAAAAAAAAAACUUGUAACCCCAUUGUGUACUACAUGCACGGUGUUUUUCCUAUGAAAAAAAAAGAAGAUUUUUUAACAUUAAGUUUUGAAAGUUGAUAUUUUGGCAUUCCUAGUUUCAUUUACUUGAAGUGGUUGAUAAGUCGAGUUACACACACAAAAAAGAAGAAGUAAUUAUUACCUUUUCGAUCCAGAUGAAAUCUCAACUUCACUGAGAAUAUCCAUCCAUCUUUGUACCUUCUCCUCGUUUUCCUUGAGAUUUUUUCCAAUCUUAUCAAAGACAAUUGUGUAACUCUCUCUUUGAUAAUCUAUCUUUGAUUCUUCAACAUCACAAGAAACUGGAAACACAGUGUCCGAUCUCAUCUCAUCCAUGAAUCCUACAAUCUUGACAAGUUCUUCAAAGCACCAAGGUAAAGAAGCACAAUCUCUUGCAAAUAUAAUAAUUGACAGCCCUGAUUCUUCAAUGGCCUCAAAGAGUCUUGAUCUAAUUGCCAUUACUUUCUCUGGUUCCUUCCUGAAGGGGAAAAUUAAUCUCUGGGCUCGAUCUGCGGCUCUGAUGCCAAGGAAAACAUUGGCCUUCCAUUGAUGGUACGACGAAGAAAAAGCUAAAUAAGCUUUAAAUGAAGAAGCUGCUUCUUUGCUUGUAACAAUAAAAUGGGCAGAAGAUGGUCGUCGUGUGAUAUAUAUAGAAGAUAACAAACAGACACCACAAUUUUUCACCUUUACUCCUGGCUGGAAAGAAUGAAAUGACAACUCAAUGUUGCUAAAGGAUUCAUGCUUCCAUUCUUUAAGCUCUUUAAGAUGAUCAAAAGAUAGAUAGAAAAGCCAAAUAUGAUCUGAUAGAACUUGGAUAGAGUUACAACUAAUACACAUUGGCAAAGGAUAAUUCUCUCUUCCAUUGGCUUUGAAAUGACAAAAAAGAGAAGUACUUUCAUCAUUUGCACUGAAUGCAACACACGCAGCAAACCCCAUGCUCCAACUAGGUACUUGCACACUAAUUAAAGAUCCCUUACUUUGAUGGUUAAACCAACCUGGAAUUUCAUUUCCUGGAACAACGAUACCAAAUCCAGGUCUUGGAUUAGACAAACCUUGUACCAUGAAAAACAAAAAUAUUAGAUAGAUAGAGGGAGAGGGAGAGAGAUACAAAAAGGUUGGGGUAUGAUUAAGAGAAGACCUUGAGGUAUCUUUCAAGCAUGGUCAACCCCAUGUUGUCUUGGCCAUUAUGAUUAUACAAUUCCCAGCAAUUAAGACACGUGAACUCUGAGAUUUUGGAACUCCAUAGCUUUAUCGGAUCUGGAAUUGUUUUUAGGCUUAUACAACCAUUCAAAUAUACCGUUUGAACUUUAGAUGGAACCUGAGGCAAUGAUUCAAGCAUCGUGCAAUCCUCCAAGACAAGCGUUUCCAGUUUAUAAAGCAGAUUUAUGCUCCUAGGCAGGCUAACAAAGUUAUUCUGGCUCAGAUAUAAAGACCUCAAUGAAGAUAAGUAGCCAAUAUCUUCAGGAAGUGCCCCUUCUCUUAGAUUGCAAGCCCGUAAACGCAGUACUUCUAAAGAACACAGAUCAAACAAAGAAGGCAGCACAACUAGUCUUUUGAAUCCAUCCAAAGAUAAUACUUUAAGAUUCUUUAAAAGAAAAAGGGAUGCUGGCAGUUGUUUUAUUGAAGUUCCACUUACAUCAAACUCUUCCAAACUUUCAACUUUCCCCAAAUUCUGUGGUAUAUUUUGAAGUUUAGAGCAGCCAGAGAGAUCGAGUUUUUUAAGGGAUUUCAAACAAGGUAUGCUACUCGGAAUGCUUUCUAAUUUUUUGCAGUUGUUCAUGCUCAAUACUUCUAAGCCAAUCAAAUGACGAAUUGAUGAAGAUAGUUUUGUAAUACCAGUCUCAUCCAAAUGAAGCACCAUCAAUUUGUUCAUGUUUCCUACUUCUCAAGUUUUGAGCAUCCAUCAAGAAUGCAAACUUUAAGUGAUUCCAUUUCAAGGUUGCUAGGGAGAAUCCUAAUACUUUCGCAAUCCAUAAGAUUCACAUAUUGAAGCUUCUUGUGACGUGCAAGUGAUGCAUGGACCUCAAACAAACUUGUACAACCUUCAAGAAUUAGGUUCUCAAGAUUCGAAAUUCCUGUAAAAUCUGGAGUCUUGAUCAGGUUUAGUGAGUUGCUAAGAUUGAUGAUUUUCAAAUUAACUGCACUCUGCAAUCAGGCAGAGGAGAACAAAUAUGGAUGCUACUAUCAUAAAUAUAUAGGAAAAUGAUAAAAAGAAAUACAAAGGUCCUUAAAUUAGGUGAUCUCACCUUACACCCAUACCAUAAUUGCUCAAUGCUACUGUUAGCCAUGUGAAGUUCAACUAGCUCAUCCACCUGUAAACUAGCUGGCAAUGAUUUUGAAGGGUAAGAAUGCCAUUCAAGAAAUCGUAGCUUAUUGGAAAGAUCUUCAGGUCCUUCAGAAAGCUGCACGUUGUCGAUUUUGAGCAAUCUUAGUUUGCUCAUUUUAGAGAAGGCUUUCAUGUUCCAUUGUGCCUCUUUUAUUGCAGGCAUGUCCAGGAAAAUGGCUUCUAUUUUUUCUUUUCCCUGUCAACCAAAAGGUAAUACAAGUAAAAAACAAUUACAAAGUAGAGAUAUACUUUAAAAUAUACUUUAUGAAAUCUUAUGGAUUAUGUUCUCUAUCAGCAGUACUCACUGUGUUGUCCAUCAUGUCGCACCCCAAAAAAUAAUACAAAAUUUUUUUUUUUUUUUUUUCGACAUUCGACUGGCGACUUUCGUUUUGUUCUGUUUUUGUUGAUUUGGUUCUUUGGAGUCGCCACCUAGUAUUUUGGUUCACUAGGAACCCUAACUGGUCUUUCAGAGAUUCUAAGGCAAGGGACUGGUUGCGUAAAGGGAAGGUAUUAGCACCCCUAGUACGCCCUACCUAAGGUAAGCUGCUUGGUGUUUUGGUUUGCUCUAUAAUUGCUAUGGUGUUGGUAUUUUCUAGGCUCGUCAAUUGAUUUUGGAUAGAAAUCUAAGGAGAUUCCAUGUGCUUUGAAAGCUCAUUUUUCCCUUAGUAUUUCAAGAGUUUGCGACUCAUAAAUCGUGGAAAAAAAAAUUAAAAUUUUAAAUGUCCUCGAUUAUAAUCAAGGCUUCUUUCAAGAAUGUGUGCGGAUUUAUUACUCCCAAUAAUAUUUUGGAUAUUCAUCCUUUUAAGGAUUUCUUUAUCCAAACAUUAGCGGUGAAUAAUAAAUAAAUUUCUCCCCAAAAUAAGAUUUUUAUAGUUUUUGGAAUAUUGGCCAAUACCCUUUGGAGUUUUACAAACAUGUUGUAAAAUCCAAAAUGCAAGAAAAUAAUUUGUGUUUAAGAAAUCUAUGCGAAAACACACUUUCGAAGCUUCCAAUAUAUUUUUUUUAUAAAAAGAAUAUUCAAAACAUGUUAGAGUAUUGGCCGUAUGCAACACGCAAGAAACAUUUUUUUUUGUAAAAAUAUUUUUUUUUUGACGAAAUCGGGUAUUUUAAUACUGAAUUUGUAUCUCCACAACAUAAAAAUACAAACUAAUAUUAAGUCAUAAAAAAAUAUGCGGAAAAAUCCAAAUAUUUUUAAGGAAUUUUAGAAAUUUUUGAAAGCAAAAAAAAAAUUUAUUUGAAAAUCUUGGAUGUCUCGACGAAAACCGGGUAUUUUAAACACUGAAUUUGUAUCUCCACAGUAAUAAAAAUACAAACCAAAUGUAUAAAACAAAAUAUAUUUAUAUGAAAAGAAAUAACAACAAUUUUUUUAGAUUUUUUCAAAAAAAAAAAAAACAUAUAUAUAUAUAUACACACAUAUAAUAAUAAUAAUAUAAUAUAAUUAUAAUAUAUUUAUAUAUUAAAAGGGGAUGGGCCGGACCCAGCCCAAAAGUCGUUGGGCCGAUCUCGGCCCAACAAACUAAUUAAACUCGGUCUGGGCCGGACCCGGCCCAGACCGCCGGAUUGGGCCAGAUCACUCUGGCCCGGCCCACAUAGUUUGGGCCAGACACCAUCUGGCCCAGAGGAAUUAAAAAAAAAACGGGGGGGGGAUUAUUUUCCCCCCCGUCCCCUGCAUGCAGAACGACUCUGCAUGCAGGAGACAAAAUUUAUAAAUAACAAGCAACAAUGUGCAGGGGGGGGUGAAGCGUACCUGGCACGGUGGAGACGGUGGCUUGCUGGCGGUGCUGCUGUGGAGGCGGUGGCGGCGUCCUAGCUCACGGCGGCUCCUCACGGCGAUUUCCAAAGCAAAUCCGGUGAAGUCCUCUCGGUUUGUUUUCUGUAUUUUUGUUUUCUAAAUUUCCUCCUGGUUUCAAACUUUCUCUCUUCUCUUGUUUUUUUUUAGUUUUCGUUGGCUCUCUCUCUCCGGGUGGGUGUUUCUCUCUCUUCCUCUCUCUCUUCGGUUUUUCUUAGUUUUCUUCGGGUUCCUCUUCUGUUCUCUUUUUUUCGUCCUUCCUGUUCUCCCUUUCGGUUCUCUAUUUAUAGAACCAUGGCGUGACUUCAACGUGGAGCCCCGGAGCGGGUCGAGGAGAGGCUGUCGGGGAGCGGCGGGCCUCCCUCGGCUUCGGCACGAGGCGGGUGUCGGCCAUUGUUUCUGUCGGUGGCCCACCGGCGUGGGGCCUCGGUCGGUGGCAAGAGGGACCUGCAAAAAAAAUAAAAAAUACAAACUUUUCCUUCUUCCCCGCUGUAAUGUUCGGGGGAAGAAGAAGUGAACAGUGCCGUUCAAAACGGCACCGUUCGGUCUCUCUUUUUUUUUUUUUUAUGCAUGAAACGGCGUCGUUUUGGACAAAACGCGCCGUUUCAUUUUAAAAUAAAGGCGCCAGAAACUUUGUUUUUAAUCAGUCCUAAUUUGUCAUUUGUUCUAUUAAGUCCUUCAAUCGAGUCCUUCAAUCAAGAAUAAAAUUCAAUUGCGUCCCUGCCAAAUUCGGUCCCUACCCCUAUAGUUGGCCGCGUUUUUCACUUUGGUCCUUGGCCUCUGAUUUUCACAAUUAAGCCCCUAAUUGAUCAAUAAACUUCCAAUUUCUUCAAUUAAGCCCCUGAAACAAUUCCAAACAGCCCCCUCUAUCUUUGCGCCUUCUCCAAAUUGGUCCCUGGUUUCGGAUUUUCACAAUUAAGUCCCUAAUUGGCCAUUAAACUUCAAUAUUUAUGCAAUUAAGCCCCUGAUUUGACCCAAUAAAUUCCUAAAAAAUAUAUUUUGGCCCCAGAACUUAAAUUUCUUCAAAUUAAAGCCCAAAUUGACUUAAAAAUCAAUUUUUCUUGCAAUCAAAUCUUCUAUAAAUUCAAAUAAAAAUCCAAUUAAGUCCAUAAACAUCCAAAUUUGGGCUUUUCUCCUCAAAAUUCAAAUUUUCCUUCUCAAUAGGGCUUUCAUCCUUCAAGAAUAUACUGUAAAAAAUUCAAUCCUUGUAUUUUUAAAUUCCUUGACCAAUUUUCUGACUGUUUCCUGAGCGCUUCUGCCUCCUGUUAUUUUUUCUAAACUCUUUUGGCUAUUUAUUUUAUUUUUUAUGGGGACCCAAAAAUGGGUUACAACACAUCAGUGCAAGGCAGACAUCCUCGUAUGUCCACAAUCUACUGCGCUUUCCAGGCUUUUCAGGGUAUUCACAACGGACAAUUCCUUACCCAUUAUCUGUAACAAAUUAUGCAUCCAGACUUGAUCCCGAGAGACACUUAUGAGAGAUCUCUCAAUAAGAACAGGUAUUCCAAUACCUGCAUGGAAUCCACGACUUUCAAGUAUCCUUGUUAUUCGAUCAAUUUUAAACCCCAUCAGGAAACAUGCAAUGUCUAAAAAUAUUUUCUUAUCUGAUUCAUGGAGACCAUCAAAACUAAUGCGAAGCACGUCAAUAAUUUUGCCGUCAGGAAUCUCAUUCAUUCUAUUAAUUGCACCUCUCCAUUCAGGGAUACUUCUUGCAUACAAAAACGAACCUAUAACUUCAAUAGCUAGUGGAAGGCCAUUAGCAUAACUCACAACUUGCUUUGAUAGUUCCACAAAAUCUUCAGCAGGCUGGUCAUUUUUGAAAGCUUUCUGGCUAAAUAACAUAAGAGCAUCAUCAUCAUUCAAUUUUUCAGCCUCAUAAGUUUUAGUAUCAUAAUUUCUAGUAAACACAUUUGUAUCUCUGCUUGUUAUGAUAAUUCUGCUCCCUGGACCAAACCAUCCAGGCUCCGCAGCCAAGAAUUCUAGUUGUUUUUUGUCAUCUACAUCAUCAAGGAUAAGAAGAAUCUUUUUAAGUCGUAACCUCCGCUUU